This 379-nucleotide ribosomal RNA is filed under the name uncultured bacterium. RNAcentral's name for it is "bacterial SSU rRNA". It matches the Rfam family "Bacterial small subunit ribosomal RNA", at positions 362 to 758 of the family's 1533-position model. The record is from RNAcentral.
UAUUGGACAAUGGGCGAAAGCCUGAUCCAGCAAUGCCGCGUGAGUGAUGAAGGCCUUAGGGUUGUAAAGCUCUUUUACCCGGGAUGAUAAUGACAGUACCGGGAGAAUAAGCUCCGGCUAACUCCGUGCCAGCAGCCGCGGUAAUACGGAGGGAGCUAGCGUUGUUCGGAAUUACUGGGCGUAAAGCGCACGUAGGCGGCUUUGUAAGUUAGAGGUGAAAGCCUGGAGCUCAACUCCAGAAUUGCCUUUGAUACUGCAUCGCUUGAAUCCAGGAGAGGUGAGUGGAAUUCCGAGUGUAGAGGUGAAGUUCGUAGAUAUUCGGAAGAACACCAGUGGCGAAGGCGGCUCACUGGACUGGUAUUGACGCUGAGGUGCGAAA